Molecule: non-coding RNA, 373 nt
Organism: Ruminococcus flavefaciens 007c
Lineage: Bacteria; Bacillati; Bacillota; Clostridia; Eubacteriales; Oscillospiraceae
Rfam family: transfer-messenger RNA
About the family: Bacterial tmRNA, also known as 10Sa RNA or SsrA, is named for its dual tRNA and mRNA-like properties.
Source: Rfam
GGGGGCGUAAAGGUUUCGACGGGGGUCUUGAAGUGUGAUAAGCGAGCGGAGAAUGGCGUGAUCUCCAUAACCUGCGCCACGUUUAAAUAUAAACGCAAGAAAUAACAUUACAGUAUCUACAAACGAUAGAGUACUGGUAGCUGCUUAAGUCAGCUUCUGUCCACCGAGGGAGUACCGCGGCUCUCGCCUGGGCAUCGAUGAGCGGUGAACGACUGUCGGAAGUGUCCGUGUCCGUCAGUUGUAUACGGACUACCUGAGACUUCAGCCCGUUUAUCGGCGGUGGUCACAGGGAAUCAUAAUAGGUAAAAUACGCUCGUAGAAAGUUGCAUGAAUGGAUUUUCGGACAGGGGUUCAAUUCCCCUCGCCUCCACCA